This 117-nucleotide non-coding RNA is filed under the name Nomascus leucogenys (northern white-cheeked gibbon). Lineage: Eukaryota; Metazoa; Chordata; Mammalia; Primates; Hylobatidae. The record is from Rfam by way of RNAcentral.
GCCGGGCGUGGUGGCUCACGCCUGUAAUCCCAGCACCGCAGGAGGCAGAGGCGGGUGGAUCACCUGAGGUCAGGAGUUCGAGACCAGCCUGACCAAUAUGGUGAAACCCCAUCUCUA